This 329-nucleotide unclassified non-coding RNA is filed under the name soil metagenome. RNAcentral's name for it is "partial contains 5.8S ribosomal RNA, internal transcribed spacer 2, and large subunit ribosomal RNA". The stretch from base 1 to 120 matches the Rfam family "5.8S ribosomal RNA", at positions 35 to 154 of the family's 154-position model. The record is from RNAcentral.
GAUGAAGAACGUAGCGAAAUGCGAUAAGUAAUGUGAAUUGCAGAAUUCAGUGAAUCAUCGAAUCUUUGAACGCACAUUGCGCCCUCUGGUAUUCCGGGGGGCAUGCCUGUUCGAGCGUCAUUAUAACCACUCAAGCUCUCGCUUGGUAUUGGAGUUCGCGAUCUCGCGGCUCCUAAAAUCAGUGGCGGUGCCUGUCGGCUCUACGCGUAGUAAUACUCCUCGCGAUUGAGUCCGGUAGGUUUACUUGCCAGCAACCCCCAAUUUUUACAGGUUGACCUCGGAUCAGGUAGUGAUACCCGCUGAACUUAAGCAUAUCAAUAAGCGGAGGA